RNAcentral lists this ribosomal RNA (1169 nucleotides) under uncultured bacterium. RNAcentral's name for it is "bacterial SSU rRNA". It matches the Rfam family "Bacterial small subunit ribosomal RNA", at positions 108 to 1306 of the family's 1533-position model. The record is from RNAcentral.
GAGUAACACAUGGUAACCUGCCUCGAAGACGUGAAUAACCCCGCGAAAGCAGGGCUAAUACACGAUAGUAAUGAGUGGCGUAAGCCGUUCAUUUAAAGUUCAGGCGCUUCGAGAGGGGCCUAUGGCCUAUCAGCUAGUUGGUGAGGUAAUGGCUCACCAAGGCAAUGACGGGUAGCGGGUGUGAGAGCAUGACCCGCCUCACUGGGACUGAGACACUGCCCAGACUCCUACGGGAGGCUGCAGUCAAGAAUCUUCCACAAUGCCCGAAAGGGUGAUGGAGCGACGCCGCGUGACUGAUGAAGCCCUUCGGGGUGUAAAGGUCUUUUAUCGGGGACGAACAAAACGGUACCGAUGAAUAAGAGGUUGCAAACUCUGUGCCAGCAGCAGCGGUAAUACAGAGCCUCAAGCGUUAUCCGGAUUUAUUGGGCGUAAAGCGUGGCGGCGGCUUUUAAGUUAACGGUUAAAGCUCGAAGCUCAACUUCGAUCUCGCCGCUAAAACUAGAAAGCUAGAGAAUGGGAGAGGCAAGCGGAAUUGCCGGUGUAGGGGUAAAAUCCGUUGAUAUCGGCAAGAACACCAAAUGCAAAGGCAGCUUGCUAGAACAUUUCUGACGCUGUCGCACGAAAGCGUGGGGAGCAAAGAGGAUUAGAUACCCUCGUAGUCCACGCUGUAAACGAUGGAUACCAGACAUUGGGAGUAUCGACCCCCUCGGUGUCGUAGCCAACGCGUAAAGUAUCCGCUGGAAGUACGGUCGCAAGAAUAAAACUCCAAGGAUUUGACGGGGAACCGCACAAGCGGUGGAUCAUGCGGUUUAAUUCGAUACAAGCGAAGAACCUUACCAGGGUUUGACAUCCUGCGAGUCUCUUGGAAACGAGAGAGUGCCUUCGGGAGCGCAGUGACAGGUGGUGCAUGGCUGUCGUCAGCUCGUGUCGUGAGAUGUUGGGUUAAGUCCCGCAACGAGCGCAACCCACGUCGUUAGUUGCCAGCAUUUAGUUGGGCACUCUAGCGAGACCGCCGGUGAUAAACCGGAGGAAGGUGUGGAUGACGUCAAGUCAUCAUGCCCCUUACAUCCUGGGCUACACACGUACUACAAUGCUACGGACAAAGGGCAGCAAGCUCGCGAGAGUUAGCAAAAUCCCAUUAAACCGUGGCUCAGUUCAGAUCGUAGGCU